This 253-nucleotide ribosomal RNA is filed under the name uncultured bacterium. RNAcentral's name for it is "partial 16S ribosomal RNA". It matches the Rfam family "Bacterial small subunit ribosomal RNA", at positions 524 to 776 of the family's 1533-position model. The record is from RNAcentral.
UACGUAGGGUGCAAGCGUUGUCCGGAAUUAUUGGGCGUAAAGAGCUCGUAGGCGGUCUGUUGCGUCGGCUGUGAAAACCCGGGGCUCAACCCCGGGCCUGCAGCCGAUACGGGCAGACUAGAGUUCGGCAGGGGAGACUGGAAUUCCUGGUGUAGCGGUGAAAUGCGCAGAUAUCAGGAGGAACACCGGUGGCGAAGGCGGGUCUCUGGGCCGAUACUGACGCUGAGGAGCGAAAGCGUGGGGAGCGAGCCGG